Molecule: ribosomal RNA, 905 nt
Filed under: uncultured marine archaeon
Lineage: Archaea
Description: bacterial SSU rRNA
Rfam family: Archaeal small subunit ribosomal RNA
Source: RNAcentral
UCCGGUUGAUCCCGCCGGAGGCUACCGCUAUUGGAGUUCGAUUAAGCCAUGCGAGUCGAGAGUCUUAGGGACUCGGCGUACCGCUCAGUAACACGUGGGUAACCUGCCCUAUGCUGGGGAAUAACCUCGGGAAACUGAGAAUAAUACCCCAUAGCCCACCAUGCCUGGAACGGUUGGUGGAUCAAAGCUCCGGCGGCAUAGGAUGGGCCUGCGGCGUAUCAGGUUGUAGGGGGUGUAACGUACCCUCUAGCCAUCAACGCGUACGGGUGUUGGGAGACAUAGCCCGGAGAUGGAUUCUGAGACACGAAUCCAGACCCUACGGGGUGCAGCAGGCGCGAAAACUUGGCAAUGCGGGAAACCGUGACGAGGGAACUCCAAGUGUCUAUGCAUUGCAUAGACUGUUUUUUAGCCUAAAUAGCUAUUAGAGUAAGGGGUGGGCAAGACCGGUGCCAGCCGCCGCGGUAACACCGGCACCUCGAGUGGUAGCCACUAUUAUUGGGCCUAAAGCGUUCGUAGCCGGUUUGGUAAAUUCUUGGGUAAAUCGUACCGCUUAACGGUGCGGAUUCCGGGGACACUACUAGACUUGAGACCGGGGGAGAUCAGAGGUACUUGCGGGGGAGCGGUGAAAUGUUGUAAUCCUGCAGGGACCACCAGUGGCGAAGGCGUCUGAUCAGAACGGCUCUGACGGUGAGGAACGAAACCCUGGGGCGCAAACGGGAUUAGAUACCCCGGUAGUCCAGGGCGUAAACGCUGCUGACUUGGUGUUGGGGAUCCUACGAGGAUGUCCAGUGCUGGCGCGAAGGUAUUUAGUCAGCCGCCUGGGGAGUACGGUCGCAAGACUGAAACUUAAAGGAAUUGGCGGGGGAGCACUGCAACGUGUGGAGCGUGCGGUUUAAUUGGAUUCA